Molecule: non-coding RNA, 106 nt
Organism: Acanthosepion pharaonis
Lineage: Eukaryota; Metazoa; Mollusca; Cephalopoda; Sepiida; Sepiidae
Source: the annotation of a GenBank genome assembly
UUACGGUCAUAUCAUGUUGAAACGCCAAUUCCCUUACGAUGACCGAAGUUAAGCAACGUCGAGCCUGGUCAGUAUCUAGAUGCGUGACCGUUCGAGAAUACCAGGU